AUUGAACGCUGGCGGCAGGCCUAACACAUGCAAGUCGAACGAGUGGCGGACGGGUGAGUAAUGUCUGGGAAACUGCCUGAUGGAGGGGGCUAACUACUGGAAACGGUAGCUAAUACCGCAUACCCUCAGAUGUGCCCUGAUGGGAUUAGCUGGUUGGUGGGGGAACGGCUCACCAAGGCGACGAUCCCUAGCUGGUCUGAGAGGAUGACCAGCCACAAUGGAACUGAAGAACGGUCCAGACUCCUACGGGAGGCAGCAGUGGGGAAUAUUGCACAAUGGGCGCAAGCCUGAUGAAGCCAUGCCGCGUGGAUGAAGAAGGCCUUCGGGUUGUAAAGUACUUUCAGCGGGGAGGCGUUACCCGCAGAAGAAGCACCGGCUAACUCCGUGCCAGCAGCCGAGGUAAUAC
Molecule: ribosomal RNA, 406 nt
Filed under: uncultured bacterium
Lineage: Bacteria
Description: partial 16S ribosomal RNA
Rfam family: Bacterial small subunit ribosomal RNA
Source: RNAcentral